GGUGGCUCAGUGGUAGAGUGCUUGCCUUGCAUGCAGGAGGCCCUGGGUUCGAUUCCUCAGCACCA
Non-coding RNA from Dipodomys ordii (Ord's kangaroo rat), 65 nucleotides. The record is from Rfam. NCBI's taxonomy places the organism in Eukaryota, Metazoa, Chordata, Mammalia, Rodentia, Heteromyidae.